AUUUUUGUGAAUGAGAGUUGGCAU
Molecule: non-coding RNA, 24 nt
Filed under: Cricetulus griseus (Chinese hamster)
Lineage: Eukaryota; Metazoa; Chordata; Mammalia; Rodentia; Cricetidae
Source: RNAcentral